This 216-nucleotide ribosomal RNA is filed under the name uncultured bacterium. RNAcentral's name for it is "partial 16S ribosomal RNA". It matches the Rfam family "Bacterial small subunit ribosomal RNA", at positions 118 to 351 of the family's 1533-position model. The record is from RNAcentral.
UGGGAACGUGCCUUUUGGUUCGGAACAACCCAGGGAAACUUGGGCUAAUACCGGAUAAGCCCUUACGGGGAAAGAUUUAUCGCCAAAAGAUCGGCCCGCGUCUGAUUAGCUAGUUGGUGGGGUAAUGGCCCACCAAGGCUACGAUCAGUAGCUGGUCUGAGAGGAUGAUCAGCCACAUUGGGGCUGAGACACGGCCCAAACUCCUACGGGAGGCAG